RNAcentral lists this ribosomal RNA (207 nucleotides) under uncultured bacterium. Its description in RNAcentral is "partial 16S ribosomal RNA". It matches the Rfam family "Bacterial small subunit ribosomal RNA", at positions 568 to 774 of the family's 1533-position model. The record is from RNAcentral.
CACGUAGGCGGACUCUUAAGUCAGGGGUGAAAUCCUGGAGCUCAACUCCAGAACUGCCUUUGAUACUGAGAGCCUUGAGUCCGGAAGAGGUAAGUGGAACUGCGAGUGUAGAGGUGAAAUUCGUAGAUAUUCGCAAGAACACCAGUGGCGAAGGCGGCUUACUGGUCCGGUACUGACGCUGAGGUGCGAAAGCGUGGGGAGCAAACA